This 253-nucleotide ribosomal RNA is filed under the name uncultured bacterium. Its description in RNAcentral is "partial 16S ribosomal RNA". It matches the Rfam family "Bacterial small subunit ribosomal RNA", at positions 524 to 776 of the family's 1533-position model. The record is from RNAcentral.
UACGUAGGUGACAAGCGUUGUCCGGAUUUACUGGGCGUAAAGAGCGCGCAGGCGGUCGAUCAAGUCGAGUGUGAAAGCCCCCGGCUCAACUGGGGAGGGUCAUUCGAUACUGAUCGACUCGAAGGCAGGAGAGGGUAGUGGAAUUCCCGGUGUAGUGGUGAAAUACGUAGAUAUUAGGUGGAAUACCGGUGGCGAAGGCGGCCAAUUGGCCCAACACUGACGCUGAGAUACGAAAGCGUGGGGAUCAAACAGG